Sebastes umbrosus (honeycomb rockfish) is the source of this 312-nucleotide long non-coding RNA. RefSeq lists it as uncharacterized. The transcript has 2 exons. Lineage: Eukaryota; Metazoa; Chordata; Actinopteri; Perciformes; Sebastidae. The record is from RefSeq and is a predicted model, not a curated record.
UAUAAAGUCAAAAUAUGUUGAUUUUGUAACUAAAAUAUUGAAAUCAUUGGCAAACAAGUGUUGUUUUAGUAGCGUUAAGGCCUCGUCUUUUAGAGACCAUUCAGAAAGAAAGACAGAAACCACAGCAUUUAAUGAAGUGUUUCAACACACAGCUCAGCAGAAGCCAGUACCGGGUCCGUCGGAUCAGUGGAACGGAGUCACUCAUAGAGAAACAGCUCCAUAGCGCUACUAGAGGUCCAAAACCUCCACAGGGAACCUUUAAUCUGUAUAAUUUAAUUACAUUCAGAUAUUAAAGAUGAUAUCAAAGGAGAA